GGGGAGUUGGCCGAGAGGUUGAAGGCAGCGGCUUUGAACACCGCAAAGGGCAGGGAUGUCCUUCGGGGGUUCGAAUCCCUCACUCCCCACCA
RNAcentral lists this transfer RNA (92 nucleotides) under Caldibacillus debilis GB1. Its description in RNAcentral is "tRNA-Ser". It matches the Rfam family "tRNA". From Rfam's summary of the family: Transfer RNA (tRNA) molecules are approximately 80 nucleotides in length. Their secondary structure includes four short double-helical elements and three loops (D, anti-codon, and T loops). The record is from RNAcentral. Lineage: Bacteria; Bacillati; Bacillota; Bacilli; Caryophanales; Bacillaceae.